This 2971-nucleotide long non-coding RNA is filed under the name Cyanistes caeruleus (blue tit). Its description in RNAcentral is "lncRNA (ENSCCEG00000021819.1)". The record is from RNAcentral. Lineage: Eukaryota; Metazoa; Chordata; Aves; Passeriformes; Paridae.
GCACUGAAAAGGUUUCCAGACUCUGCUGCCCAGCCAUGCCACACUUGCCUGGCAGCUCCCUAAAUGGCAAAUGCUUCUCAGAUGUGAGCAGAGCACAGAGGGUGACGCUGCUGCCCCUUGGAAGGGUGCUAGGCUCUCCUACAACUGCUUUUCAUGCAGGUAGGGACAGAAAAGCUGAACUGAAAAGCCAAGGUCCAUAUGGGUGCAUUGAGAUGGAUAUAUUCUCUUGCUAUUAUAGCUGCCCUGUUCCAACUGAGUGGUGUGAGACAUCAGCCUCUGAAACUGGAAUUAGCUCAUGCUAUCCCAAGGAGAGUUUGGUCCCUAAUAUUUUUGAUUACAGCAGAUGUUGCACAUAAUACAAUAGCUCUCACAAAGGGAGGCAGAGAUGCAGAAUGAGACCUACCAGAUAGCUAAUAAAAGAAAAGACCUCAUGAAGAACAAAAAAAAGCUGCUAGUGAUUGCAGAGAUAUGUUGCCCCCAGGAAAUUAAAAACACAGAUGCCGUGGCAUAUGCAAUAAGCAUCUCCUUUGUGUCCAUGUGAAAGUGCUGAAACCUCUGGACUAUUAUGAAAUUGAAAAGACGCUUUUAAGUCUUCCCCAUACACUUCAGCUGCUUGCAAGUGGUAGUGAAGAAAAUGAAGUAGAUCAUUCUGGCUUCUGUGCAACUUUAUUUACCAGGGAACCCACCUUCAGGAUAAACACACGCAUCAGUGCACGCACCUGCGUGGGGCUGUCAGGCAGCUGCCGCUCGGUGAAGGGAAGAGGCGCCAGGCUACAGCUGUAACGAGAAUGUAGAACGGGAGCAGUGUGCUCUCCGUGUCUUUCCCGGCCAUGUAUCUGUCCAACGCCAGCCGGAGGUUUGGGACCCGCAGGGCGCCGGUGUGGGUCCGAGCCCGGCGCCUGCUUGCAGGCACGGCCCAUCUUGUCUACGCAGACCCUCCCGGAGGAAAAAUAGACAAUAUAUACAUAUUGACACGAUUUUUCUCCCCCUCCUUCCCCGAGUUUGCCGUUCCCCGCCCUCCGCGGCGGGGGGAGCGCACCUGCGCCGAGCGGCCGGGGCUGUGCGCAGGCNCGCAGGAGCGCCGGGCAGCCCGGCCGUGCUCCGCAGCUCCCGCCGGCCCCCCGGGCCCCUCCAGCCACGCCGCUGCCCCGGGGGGCGGCAGCGCUGCCCCUGCCGCGAUGCCGGGCUGGAGGAAGAGCCUCGCCCUGUGCCUGCAGCGGAUGCAAGAGGACGGCAAUUCUGCUGAAAAGCAAAUCAAAACCAGAGGAAGGAAGUGCAGCCCUGCCUCAGUACAGUGUGCAACAAUGCAGGUCCUACCUGUGAGGUUGCUCUAUCCCUGAAAGAAGACAAUAGAAGAAAACUAGAGCUGCUCUGAAGCACUGCAAGAACAUAUUUAAGUGGAAACAAUAAUGUUGCAAUUAUUUUUUCCAUAAAAACAGUAUUUAAUUGAGGAUGUAAUCCUUCCAAAAAGAAAUAAUAAUUUUAAAAAGUCCAUUAAAAAAAAAUCUGUAUUGCAAAAUUACAUUGGGGGUUAUUGGUGGGAGAUUCCCUUAGUGCUACUCUUAUUAUGGAAGCUUGCUGUGUUUUAUUUUUAAUGAAGAGAAUAUUCAAAAUAUGUCAUCAACAAAGACCAUAUUCUCCUAGAGCAACGUCUUUCAUUGGAUGUGCAGAGUUUUAUUGCUGAGGUGGAGGAACAGGGUGGCUGUAUAUCCAAGAUGCUGUUGAAUCCUUUAUCUCUUUGUAGUAUUUAGAUUUUUGAUUUUGUGUGUCCAUAACAGUUACAGAAAUACACUUUUAUAUGUUUGUAACUCAGAGUAUUGGGAUGUCUUGCCAGUGUGUUUCAAUCUCUUUUACCUUUCAUUGGAGCAACCCACCUGCAAGCUUUUAUUUUUGUAGCUAAAGAAGUCGAACAGGGUUAGGGUUACAUUCCAGCUGUGUGGGGACUGUUAUGCUCAGAGUCCCUCAGUUUUAUUUCCAGAUGUAGUUCAAUGGGCAGCUGAGACAUGACCUGCUGCAGUGCACCUGCUCAGAGACUGUGCUUCUUUUUGUUGUUACCCCUGUUCAGUCUCUCCCGGUAUUUUCAUGGGGAGAAGCUAAGCAGAGGGAAUAGCCUGUCAGUACUAGACAAAGGGUUAUCUUCUGUAAGGCUCCCAAGUGAUCAGAGGACAGGGGCAGGUCGCUUAUUUAACCUUGCACUGGGUAGAGCAAAGAUUGAACAGACCUCAGAUAAGCUGUUGGAACCAAUGCCCAGACCAUGAACUGAAAUCUAACUCUGUCACUGAUUUAUCAGUGUGUUCUGAAUAUGAUGAUGGGUGCUAAGGGGAUCUCCCAUGGAAGCACAUUUGGAAUUCCCAGCUCAAUUCUGCUCAAAGGGCUCGGGGCUCAGACCACUCAGGAUAGCGUGAGAGGGAGGCAAAGCCUCACAAGCAUAGCUUCAGGCUCAGCAUAAUUAACAGAUUUGCAGGGAGUGGAGGAGAGGCUUGUCACAGAUUUUGACAGUCCCUUAAUGAAAUGUGUGGCCUUUCCUAAUGACCACACGUGCCUGCUGAACUGGUGAGCCCUGCCCUGCUCUGCCCUAGACCCUGCUGAGUGCCAGGGGCAGACCUGCAGAGGUGAGAGGGACCUCAGAGAGAUAACUGGUGUCUGGCAUCACCUGUGCUGCCAUCCCUGAACUGCCAGCCUGUGGUGUUUGGGACAGAGCUGACAGAACUCCCCUGUGUUGCUGCUUAGUUUCAGACUGUUUUGUUUUGGUCAUUUCAAGUGAGUGAUGGAUGAAUUUCUCAUGUGGAUUUUGAAAGGGCUGAAAAAUGUUAUCCAGUGGCUUCUAUUUCUCACAUUAUAUUUUUGAUGUAGGAAGGGAAGAUGAAGAACAUGAGGCACCUUCCUUUAAAUUUGUGACACUUCUGCCUGAUAUGGUUACUAAUGGGUAUUUUUGAUAGAAAUAGAAUAAAGACCUGGAAGCAUGGGCCCA